UACGUAGGGGGCAAGCGUUGUCCGGAAUCAUUGGGCGUAAAGCGCGUGUAGGCGGCUCGGUAAGUCCGCUCUGAAAGUCCAAGGCUCAACCUUGGGAUGCGGGUGGAUACUGCCGGGCUCGAGUCCGGAAGAGGCGAGUGGAAUUCCUGGUGUAGCGGUGAAAUGCGCAGAUAUCAGGAGGAACACCAAUGGCGAAGGCAGCUCGCUGGGACGUGACUGACGCUGAGGCGCGAAAGCUAGGGGAGCAAACAGG
This 253-nucleotide ribosomal RNA is filed under the name uncultured bacterium. Its description in RNAcentral is "partial 16S ribosomal RNA". It matches the Rfam family "Bacterial small subunit ribosomal RNA", at positions 524 to 776 of the family's 1533-position model. The record is from RNAcentral.